GUGACCUACGGGGGGCAGCAGUGGGGAAUUUUGCGCAAUGGGGGGAACCCUGACGCAGCAACGCCGCGUGCGGGACGAAGGCCCUCGGGUUGUAAACCUCUUUCAGCAGGGAAGAUCCAAGACGGUACCUGCAGAAGAAGCUCCGGCUAACUACGUGCCAGCAGCCGCGGUAAUACGUAGGGGGCGAGCGUUAUCCGGAUUCAUUGGGCGUAAAGCGCGCGUAGGCGUCCGCC
This 233-nucleotide ribosomal RNA is filed under the name uncultured bacterium. RNAcentral's name for it is "partial 16S ribosomal RNA". It matches the Rfam family "Bacterial small subunit ribosomal RNA", at positions 334 to 583 of the family's 1533-position model. The record is from RNAcentral.